AAUAUUGGACAAUGGGCGAAAGCCUGAUCCAGCCAUGCCGCGUGUGUGAAGAAGGUCUUCGGUUUUUAAAGCACUUUAAGUUGGGAGGAAGGGGUUGAAGCUAAUACCUUCAAUCUUUGACGUUACCAACAGAAUAAGCACCGGCUAACUCUGUGCCAUCAGCAGCGGGAAUACAGAGGGUGCAAGCGUUAAUCGUAAUUACUGGGCGUAAAGGGAGAGUAGGUGGUUCAGUAAGAUGGAAGUGAAAUCCCCGGGCUUAACCUGGGAACUGCUUUCAUAACUGCUGAGCUAGAGUACGGUAGAGGGUAGUGGAAUUUCCUGUGUAGCGGUGAAAUGCGUAGAUAUAGGAAGGAACACCAGUGGCGAAGGCGACUACCUGGACUGAUACUGACACUGAGGUGCGAAAGCGUGGGGAGCAAACAGG
Molecule: ribosomal RNA, 424 nt
Filed under: uncultured bacterium
Lineage: Bacteria
Description: partial 16S ribosomal RNA
Rfam family: Bacterial small subunit ribosomal RNA
Source: RNAcentral